Molecule: long non-coding RNA, 721 nt
Organism: Acipenser ruthenus (sterlet)
Lineage: Eukaryota; Metazoa; Chordata; Actinopteri; Acipenseriformes; Acipenseridae
Exons: 4
Source: RefSeq, a predicted model, not a curated record
UUCAGAGAAGGUGCUACCAGUAGAAUGCAGAGAAGUGCCACAAACCUCAACAAGUGUUCAUGUUUGGACCGCAUGUUAUACAUUGCCUAUAUUUCCUCCAGUUGUACAGAUGGCCCUUGAUAGAAAGGACAUUGGUUUCAAAUCAAAAGACAAAUCUGCCCUUCGUGCAGCUCUAAUACAGACUCUGUUUGAUGACCUCAGCAAAUAUACGCUGUAUCCAGACCACAUAAUGUACAGUACUGUGCUAAGUACUUUGUGCUGUAAGUACAGAUUUCUAAGGGAUGACAGCCAAACUGGAUAUGCUACUCUACUUGAAAUACUGAGAAAUAAAUUCAAAAAAGAGAGAAAGACACUUAUUUCAGUGGAGACUGUAGAAGACAUGAAAAAAAAGUUUGGUGCUGUGGGUCGAGGAAGGAAGCGUGCACCAGAGCAACAGCAACCGCUCAUGAAAAAGAGAAGAGAAUCUAUGCACAGUGAGGAGUUCCCAGGAGAAGACGAGCAUAGUAUUGCCAAACACUUGGACUCCAUAAGAAAAGAAAUAACGAAAUUGAGGCCGAACAUUGAAGCCAUAUGUGACAGCAUGAAUAGAACUGUACACACUCGGGAAAGAAUGAUGGAGAAGAAGUCCACUGAAGAAGUCCUUGGUCUGUUUCCAUUCCUAAAGCAUCCUAAACUGGUAGGUACUAGUUUUUAUUCUACUAUGGUGAUUGAUCAGAAAUUA